Molecule: ribosomal RNA, 253 nt
Filed under: uncultured bacterium
Lineage: Bacteria
Description: partial 16S ribosomal RNA
Rfam family: Bacterial small subunit ribosomal RNA
Source: RNAcentral
UACAGAGGUCUCAAGCGUUGUUCGGAUUCAUUGGGCGUAAAGGGUGUGUAGGUGGCGCCGUAAGUCGGGUGUGAAAUUUCGGAGCUUAACUCCGAAACUGCAUUCGAUACUGCGGUGCUUGAGGACUGGAGAGGAGACUGGAAUUCAUGGUGUAGCAGUGAAAUGCGUAGAGAUCAUGAGGAAGACCAGUGGCGAAGGCGUUCUGCUGGGCCGUUGCUGACGCUGAGGCGCGACAGCGUGGGGAGCAAACAGG